UGCAGUCGAGCGGUAGAGAGGAGCUUGCUCCUCUUGAGAGCGGCGGACGGGUGAGUAAUGCCUAGGAAUCUGCCUGGUAGUGGGGGAUAACGUUCGGAAACGGACGCUAAUACCGCAUACGUCCUACGGGAGAAAGCAGGGGACCUUCGGGCCUUGCGCUAUCAGAUGAGCCUAGGUCGGAUUAGCUAGUUGGUGAGGUAAUGGCUCACCAAGGCGACGAUCCGUAACUGGUCUGAGAGGAUGAUCAGUCACACUGGAACUGAGACACGGUCCAGACUCCUACGGGAGGCAGCAGUGGGGAAUAUUGGACAAUGGGCGAAAGCCUGAUCCAGCCAUGCCGCGUGUGUGAAGAAGGUCUUCGGAUUGUAAAGCACUUUAAGUUGGGAGGAAGGGCAGUAAAUUAAUACUUUGCUGUUUUGACGUUACCGACAGAAUAAGCACCGGCUAACUCUGUGCCAGCAGCCGCGGUAAU
Molecule: ribosomal RNA, 472 nt
Filed under: uncultured bacterium
Lineage: Bacteria
Description: bacterial SSU rRNA
Rfam family: Bacterial small subunit ribosomal RNA
Source: RNAcentral